GCCAGGCGUGGUGGUACACAUCUGUAGUCUCAGCUACUUGGGAGGCUGAGGCAGGGGGAUUGUUUGAGCCCAGGACUUCGAGGCUGCAGUGAGCUGUGAUUGAGCCACUGCAGUCCAGCCUGGGUGACAGAGCAAGACCGUGUCUCUA
This 148-nucleotide non-coding RNA is filed under the name Homo sapiens (human). The record is from Rfam by way of RNAcentral. Lineage: Eukaryota; Metazoa; Chordata; Mammalia; Primates; Hominidae.